UGUGGGAGCGGGCUUGCCCGCGAUUGCGUUGUGUCAGCCAUGGAAAUGUCGACUGAUCCGCCGCUAUCGCGGGCAAGCCCGCUCCCACA
This 89-nucleotide unclassified non-coding RNA is filed under the name Pseudomonas brenneri. The record is from RNAcentral. Lineage: Bacteria; Pseudomonadati; Pseudomonadota; Gammaproteobacteria; Pseudomonadales; Pseudomonadaceae.